CACCUUCGGUGUCCGAGUUGUAAUCUCGAGAAGUGUUUUCCGCGCCGGACCGCAUAUAAGUCUGUUGGAAUACAGCGUCAUAGUGGUGAGAACCCCGUAACUGAUGCGGAUGCCCGGUGCUCUGUGAUACACUUUCGAAGAGUCGAGUUGUUUGGGAAUGCAGCUCAAAUUGGGUGGUAAAUUCCAUCUAAAGCUAAAUAUUGGCGAGAGACCGAUAGCGAACAAGUACCGUGAGGGAAAGAUGAAAAGCACUUUGGAAAGAGAGUUAACAGUACGUGAAAUUGUUGGAAGGGAAACGCUUGAAGUCAGACUUGCUAUUUGGAGUUCAGCCUCACGGUGUAUUCUUCAAUUUGCAGGCCAGCAUCAGUUUUGAGGGGAGGAAAAGGACACUGAGAAGGUAGCAGUUUCGGCUGUGUUAUAGCUCUAUGUUGGAUUCUUCCUUUGGGACUGAGGAACGCAGCACGCUUUUUG
Molecule: ribosomal RNA, 471 nt
Filed under: Rhodotorula sp.
Lineage: Eukaryota; Fungi; Basidiomycota; Microbotryomycetes; Sporidiobolales; Sporidiobolaceae
Description: eukaryotic LSU rRNA
Rfam family: Eukaryotic large subunit ribosomal RNA
Source: RNAcentral